Molecule: long non-coding RNA, 414 nt
Organism: Vespa crabro (European hornet)
Lineage: Eukaryota; Metazoa; Arthropoda; Insecta; Hymenoptera; Vespidae
Exons: 3
Source: RefSeq, a predicted model, not a curated record
CGAGCAACGCAUGGGGUCUCUAAAAUAAACUAAGAGAAGAGAGGGCUCGAUCUUUGCUAGCGUUUGAGUUUAUUUUCAAGAACACCGUCAAGGAGAGAGGACGUACAAAGGAAUUCUGUCUUAGAAUCAACUACGACGUCAUUAUUUCUGUAGAAUGUCCAUAGUGACCAUCAACAAAGAUUUAAAAACAUCGUUACAAUCGUGCGCGAAACGAUAAAAAAAACGAGCGUUAUAUCUUUAAAAUAAAAAAACAAAAAUCGUGAAAUAAUGUCAGUGUUGUUCGUCGUAAAUAAAAAUUUCGGUCGCUAUAAGAAACUCAUCUAUAGUAUCUUAUUUUCAUCAGCGCGUUAUUAAAUUCAUACCAAUCCCAAGACACAUCAUCAUAAUGACAUUGGGCUCUCUAUUCGAUUUGAA